Molecule: ribosomal RNA, 510 nt
Filed under: Papilio demoleus (lime butterfly)
Lineage: Eukaryota; Metazoa; Arthropoda; Insecta; Lepidoptera; Papilionidae
Description: partial 16S ribosomal RNA
Rfam family: Bacterial large subunit ribosomal RNA (bases 382-510)
Source: RNAcentral
UUUUUGAAAAUAAUUUAAAGUCUAAUCUGCCCACUGAUAUAAUUAUUAAAGGGCUGCAGUAUUUUGACUGUACAAAGGUAGCAUAAUCAUUAGUCUCUUAAUUGGUGACUUGUAUGAAAGAUUGGAUGAGAUAUAAACUGUCUCUAAUUAAUUUAUAUAAUUUAAUUUUUUAGUUAAAGAGCUAAAAUAAAUUUAAAAGACGAGAAGACCCUAUAGAGUUUUAUAAUUUUAUAGGUUAUAAUUAUUAAUAGUUAAAAUUAUAAUUUAUGAAAUUAUUUUGUUGGGGUGAUAGAAAAAUUAAAUUAACUUUUUUUAAUAAUUAACAUUAAUUUAUGAAUAUAUGAUCCAUUUUUAGUGAUUAAAAGAAAAAAUUACCUUAGGGAUAACAGCGUAAUUUUUUUUUUUAGUUCAAAUAGGAAAAAAAGUUUGCGACCUCGAUGUUGGAUUAAGAUAAAAUUUAAAUGCAAAAGUUUAAAAUUUUGAUCUGUUCGAUCAUUAAAAUCUUACAUG